This 600-nucleotide ribosomal RNA is filed under the name uncultured archaeon. RNAcentral's name for it is "bacterial SSU rRNA". It matches the Rfam family "Archaeal small subunit ribosomal RNA", at positions 74 to 671 of the family's 1478-position model. The record is from RNAcentral.
ACCACCGGCGGACGGCUCAGUAACACGUCGGUAACCUACCCUCGGGAGGGGGAUAACCCCGGGAAACUGGGGCUAAUUCCCCAUAGGCCUGAGGUACUGGAAGGUCCUCAGGCCGAAAGGGACUUAUGUCCGCCCGAGGAUGGGCCGGCGGCCGAUUAGGUAGUUGGUGGGGUAAUGGCCCACCAAGCCGAAGAUCGGUACGGGCUGUGAGAGCAGGAGCCCGGAGAUGGACACUGAGACACGGGUCCAGGCCCUACGGGGCGCAGCAGGCGCGAAACCUCCGCAAUGCGGGAAACCGCGACGGGGGGACCCCGAGUGCCGUGGCAACGCCACGGCUUUUCCGGAGUGUAAAAAGCUCCGGGAAUAAGGGCUGGGCAAGGCCGGUGGCAGCCGCCGCGGUAAUACCGGCGGCCCGAGUGGUGGCCGCUAUUAUUGGGCCUAAAGCGUCCGUAGCCGGGCCCGUAAGUCCCUGGCGAAAUCCCACGGCUCAACCGUGGGGCUUGCUGGGGAUACUGCGGGUCUUGGGACCGGGAGAGGCGGGGGGUACCCCUGGGGUAGGGGUGAAAUCCUAUAAUCCCAGGGGGACCGCCAGUGGCGAAG